GACGAACGCUGGCGGCGUGCCUAAUACAUGCAAGUAGAACGCUGAAGGAGGAGCUUGCUUCUCUGGAUGAGUUGCGAACGGGUGAGUAACGCGUAGGUAACCUGCCUGGUAGCGGGGGAUAUCUAUUUGAAACGAUAGCUAAUACCGCAUAAGAGUAGAUGUUGCAUGACAUUUGCUUAAAAGGUGCAAUUGCAUCACUACCAGAUGGACCUGCGUUGUAUUAGCUAGUUGGUGGGGUAACGGCUCACCAAGGCGACGAUACAUAGCCGACCUGAGAGGGUGAUCGGCCACACUGGGACUGAGAAACGGCCCAGACUCCUACGGGAGGCAGCAGUAGGGAAUCUUCGGCAAUGGACGGAAGUCUGACCUAGCAACGCCGCGUGAGUGAAGAAGGUUUUCGGAUCGUAAAGCUCUGUUGUAAGAGAAGAACGAGUGUGAGAGUGGAAAGUUCACACUGGGACGGUAUCUUACCAGAAAGGGACGGCUAACUACGU
Molecule: ribosomal RNA, 494 nt
Filed under: uncultured bacterium
Lineage: Bacteria
Description: partial 16S ribosomal RNA
Rfam family: Bacterial small subunit ribosomal RNA
Source: RNAcentral